CUUUACACAGGCCAUAUUUUAGAACCGUUGAUGUAGUACUUUAGUAAAUCAGUAAUGAUUUCCGGAGGAGCUUUCUAGAGAGCAAUUAAAAGGGUUAAGCGGCUUCAAACUACAACUCAACUUAGAAGAAAUGCCUAUGCAUAUUAAAUUGAAUUUUGGCACUCGUUGCAACACGUGCCGUUUUGUCAAUAAGGCGUCGAAUGUAGUCGCCCAUAAAAAAAUAUCAAUUACUUAUUGGCAUGACGCAUCAUUGGGACAAAACAAUACUGUCGACAUCUGGACCACAUUAUGGAGAAUCUACUAUUGGCAUGAUCUCGGCCUUUUCCGGGAAGAACCCCGGCUUCGUUGAACGGCUGAUUUCCUUCAUUUCCGGCUCAUGUAACCCCAUCUUGUGAGCUAUCAACAUGGGGCUAACAACAUGUUUUAAUUGAUAUUUUCUCGAGGAAGAAUAAACUUUAAUGAGCCAGCAUCAAGUAAACGUUGGCCGUUAUUGCCCAACCUCCCUCUCCUAGGAAAAGACAAGAUCGGCACCGCAUAUUUGCAGCCGAUAAAAGCAGUGGAUAUCGAAUAGAAAUAUUCUUCGAACGAUCAUUGGAGGGCAUAGUAGUCACAUGGGCGAGGUUUGAAAUCGACGGUCAAAAGUUCAUGUUACCUGAGGAAUGUUACAAAGGCUACAGAAAUGGUAUUAUCAUAUCCAAUAUAUUUCAGAUGUUUAAAAUGAAUGACACAUUGGGUUAAUUGAAGACAAAAAAACAGCAAAGCGUUUAGCUUAUUACACUAACACACUUAUAGGUAUCUGCCUAGAAAAGUAAAAGGCUAUCACUGAGGGAACUUAAGUUACAGUGAUGUUACUUGCGAAAAUACCUUUGAAUGUCAUACACUGUUUUUAAGGCUGGAAAAUAAUUCUAAUAUGUAUUUGUCCAACUCUAGUCGAAGGUGAAGAACUGUUCUUAGUCCAUUUGGGCGGCUUCGCUGCGAGCAAAAUAUAAUCAGAAUCGUUAUUUUCGUGUUAACAACUGACUUUGUAAAUAUGAUAUAUAAUAGAUUCAUUGAACAACAGUGAAACAAACAGCUGACAUUGUUAGUGGCACUUUUUAUACUGCGCAGUUAGACUAUUGGCGGUGCACAGUACGACUCAUUAUAUGAGUACUUUAAGACUUCCAUGAAGUCUAGAUGUUGGGACUUCAAGAGAAGAUAUAAGAAAUCCCGUUUAAUCCAUAUGCACAUUUGUAGGAUUAAGUUUUCAAAACGUCUAUUGAUAAUAAAAACAUUUUGCGUUAAGGCAGUUUUACAUGAUGAAAUGAAACUGUAUGUUGCUUCAAAGCGUGCAUUCUUCAUUGAAUGCGUCAUUCUAAAUUAAUGUGAUAACUCAUUAGCAAUCGAUCGUAGUGAUAGCAGGUGUAUACAGUGGAAUUAGGUUGAAAUGCGAUGCUCGCACGCGUUCCUCGAGGGUAGCGAUUAAUAUUAUUCUAUUCUAGGAACCCACAAUUGAUUCAGCGGACAUCGAGUCAAAAGAAGAUUGUACUACAAAAUAGGAAACUAAUAGUCUGUCGUCGCCAGAUGCGCCGAAACAGGUUCAAGGCUUGCUGGAAGAAUGAUUACCACGAGCCGCCCAUUUGAAACUCCUCUUCAGUGUUCAGCUUCGAUCAGUGUCGAUUAUAUUAACGAGGCUAAGGAAGCUAUAAAAACUUAGUGGAACGUCGUAUAUAGUAUAUUCGCAUAACAUAUCUUUCACUUACUGGGCAGAUAUCUAUUCGACAACAAUAGCUCACAAAAUACCUAAUCGAAAUUUAGAUUGCUCUUCAACGCACGGCUUAGCUACUUAUGCUAAACUCGUUGACUUUAAAAUCCAGUUAUUACGACACCAUGAUGGAGAUAUGUGUUUCCCGCCUUCUCUAUCUUCCAGAUUCUCUAUAAAAUCUUAUUAAACCUCUAUAAACCCUACAGCUAAAGAGCUAGAUGAGCCCCCAAUAGUAGUGCGAGGAUGUCAGGUCGCAAAAUCUCGAACUGUCAAAUUCUCUUCGCCAGCCAUUUCCCGAAAAAUUCUAGUCAUCAAAAUCGAAAUUAUUGAAUCUAGCUUCAAGUAAGCACAUUUUUAAACACAACAAUAGUAAUCGCUAACUUCAUUUCUCGUGUAGAUACUGUAGUGAACUUCAGACAUAUAUCCGUGCUGUAACAUGUUACACAAAGAUACAACUUGAUGGCAGUGAGAAACUAGAGCGGUUGCUUUUGUGUUCUCGACUUAGACGCAGAGGGCGUAGCGAUUUUCUUGAGGGAACCUAUUCUUGUUCAAAGUGCGUUCUUCAUCAUAGCGGAUAUGCUGAUGUAAGGAAGAACUAAACUGAUAAAGGUGUUAGUCAACUUGAUAUAUAUUAUGUAAGAGCGCCACACACUAUUAGUCAAACCCGUUUUCCGCAUUAAGAACCUCACAAGACUUGCAAAUAAUAAUAAAUGAAAAUCUUUAAUCAUUUUAAGUGACUCGAUCUGUUGAAGUUUAUGCCAGCUAUUGAUUGUACAUAUCUCGUGAUUACUCGGUAAGUAGGCUGAUCUUGUUUUAAAGAUUGUUUUUUUUAUACGUCCAGUAGGAGCAUUAUUCCAGCGAUAUGCCAGCUACUCAUGGUUGUCAUUUUUCGGGACCAUUUAGCCCAAUAACGACACAGUCGUGCUGACCACUCUUUAGACGAGCCGAUUUUAUGUGGAGGUUUACACCGGAGCAUCAGAUUCUUUCUUCACUCUAGCGUGAAAUGUAGAUGAUGAACAAUUUACUUUUAAACCCAUAUUGUGCUAAAGACCGUUGAGUUAAAUUCCUGGAUUUCACGUAAAGUGAGUUAUAUCGCCAUGUAAUUAUUGCACGAUAUUAUGUAACCAUCAAUUGGUUGCAAAACAUGAAUCUUUAGGUCGAAUUGUAGGCUAUAUUAAGUGUCCUUGGCACACUAUUACAACCUCUUACAAACGUACUCUAUAUGUCCGCUAAGCUUCAACUUGUAUUGAAAAAUUUAUAGAGACUUAUUUUUCUAAUUUCUUUUAUCACUGCUAGCAGAAGAAGUCUAAGAUUAAUUUGUGUAUCCCUUUAUAUUUCCAGAAUGGAACUGUAUUUCAUGUAAUUGAGUCAAUGGACUACAAGUGCUUUGGAUUUUACUUUAGGCCGACAUCACUUGAUACAUCGAUUAAGAGGGGCAGGGUUUACCACAACAAAGGUUAAAUACCUCUUUAAAUUGUAUUUAACGCGGGUAAUUAAUAUAGUAACGAUUUGCUACGCAUCGAAGCUGCAGGUGAUUAGAAAAAAUCUCGUUAAAACGACAAAGAAAGAGAAUGCUUGUGUAUUGUAAUUAGAAGAGUAUGUCAUACCAGCAAAUGUUUAAAACGAGCUCCAUGAGCACCAAAAGGCCAAGUGUAUUGAUUUUUUUGACUUCAAAGAUUCGUUAUCAGUUCCAAUAAAAUCAUUCGCUGUCUUCAUUGUUUGAGGCGUUGCGAAGCA
Long non-coding RNA from Varroa destructor (honeybee mite), 3478 nucleotides. The record is from RefSeq and is a predicted model, not a curated record. NCBI's taxonomy places the organism in Eukaryota, Metazoa, Arthropoda, Arachnida, Mesostigmata, Varroidae.